CAUUAGAAAUGUAGGUAGUCUGACACCAAAGCACAGUGAGUUACUUGCAAGUCACAAUGGUGAUCUUAGGUUUGAGAGAUACUUAUGCCCAUAUGCUUCGUGAGCUGCUCUUAAUAGUAAAGCUCUCAGCAGGUGAGUCACUUAUUCUAUGAUGAUGUACUCCUACAUCUUACCUGUAUGCCAUAUCAGUAUUACCACACUCCUUGGUUACGAGGACAACCAACCUAUAUGGUACACAACAACCUACACUCGA
RNAcentral lists this long non-coding RNA (253 nucleotides) under Elaeis guineensis (African oil palm). RNAcentral describes it as "long non-coding RNA (EGUI_LNC029392)". Lineage: Eukaryota; Viridiplantae; Streptophyta; Magnoliopsida; Arecales; Arecaceae. The record is from RNAcentral.